UACAGAGGGUGCAAGCGUUGUUCGGAAUUAUUGGGCGUAAAGCGCGUGUAGGCGGCUUUGCAAGUCUGGUGUGAAAUCCCUCGGCUUAACCGAGGAAGUGCGCCAGAAACUGCAGAGCUUGAGUACCGGAGAGGAUGGUGGAAUUCCCCAAGUAGAGGUGAAAGUCGGAGAGAUGGGGAGGAACACCGGUGGCGAAGGCGACCAUCUGGACGGAUACUGACGCUGAGACGCGAAAGCGUGGGGAGCAAACAGG
Molecule: ribosomal RNA, 253 nt
Filed under: uncultured bacterium
Lineage: Bacteria
Description: partial 16S ribosomal RNA
Rfam family: Bacterial small subunit ribosomal RNA
Source: RNAcentral